Molecule: ribosomal RNA, 329 nt
Filed under: uncultured soil bacterium
Lineage: Bacteria
Description: bacterial SSU rRNA
Rfam family: Bacterial small subunit ribosomal RNA
Source: RNAcentral
AGAUUGAACGCUGGCGGCAUGCCUAACACAUGCAAGUCGAACGGGAGUAGCAAUACUCUAGUGGCGGGCGGGUGAGGAAUACGUAGGAAUUUGCCCUUAAGUGGGGGAUAACCCGGGGAAACCCGGAUUAAUACCGCAUGACCUCGAAAGAGCAAAGUGGGGGAUCGCAAGACCUCACGCUUUUGGAGAAGCCUACGUCGGAUUAGCUAGUUGGUGAGGUAAUGGCUCACCAAGGCGACGAUCCGUAACUGGUCUGAGAGGAUGAUCAGUCACACCGGAACUGAGACACGGUCCGGACUCCGUAGGGAGCAGCAGUGGGAAUAUUGGAC